UACGUAGGGGGCAAGCGUUGUUCGGAAUGACUGGGCGUAAAGGGUGCGUAGGCGGUAGUACAAGUUAGAAGUGAAAUACCCAGGGCUUAACCAUAGAACUGCAUUUGAAACUGUUAUUCUAGAGUAUGGGAGAGGUAGGUGGAAUUCUUGGUGUAGGGGUAAAAUCCGUAGAGAUCAAGAGGAAUACUCAUUGCGAAGGCGACCUGCUAGAACAUAACUGACGCUGAUGCGCGAAAGCGUGGGGAGCAAACAGG
This 254-nucleotide ribosomal RNA is filed under the name uncultured Helicobacteraceae bacterium. Its description in RNAcentral is "partial 16S ribosomal RNA". It matches the Rfam family "Bacterial small subunit ribosomal RNA", at positions 524 to 776 of the family's 1533-position model. Lineage: Bacteria; Pseudomonadati; Campylobacterota; Epsilonproteobacteria; Campylobacterales; Helicobacteraceae. The record is from RNAcentral.